RNAcentral lists this ribosomal RNA (469 nucleotides) under Acanthopotamon panningi. RNAcentral describes it as "partial 16S ribosomal RNA". The record is from RNAcentral. Lineage: Eukaryota; Metazoa; Arthropoda; Malacostraca; Decapoda; Potamidae.
AUUUUGAAUGAAUAAAUAGUCUGACCUGCCCACUGAUAUAAAUGAUUUAAGGGCCGCGGUAUUUUAACCGUGCAAAGGUAGCAUAAUCACUAGGUUUUUAAUUAGAAUCUUGUAUGAAUGGUUGGACAAAAAUAUAACUGUCUUUAUAUUAAAUUUUAAAUUUAACUUUUAAGUGAAAAGGCUUAAAUAUAUUAGAAAGACGAUAAGACCCUAUAAAACUUCACGUUAUAAUUUUAUUUAAUUAAAUUUUAAAGAUAAAGAUUUAAUUUUAUUAUGUGUUAUAUUGGGGAGAUAAAGGUAAAAUUUUUUUUAACUGCUUUAUAUUUAAACAAAUAUUUAUGAAUAUUAAAGGAUCCUUUAUAUUGAUUAAAAGAUUAAGUUACUUUAGGGAUAACAGCGUUAUUUUUUUUGAGAGUUCAUAUCGAAAAAAAAGUUUGCGACCUCGAUGUUGAAUUAAAAUAUCUUUAUA